AUUGAACGCUGGCGGCAUGCUUUACACAUGCAAGUCGGACGGCAGCAUAAAAGAGCUUGCUCUUUUGAUGGCGAGUGGCGAACGGGUGAGUAAUGCAUCGGAACGUACCGAGUAGUGGGGGAUAACUGUCCGAAAGGAUGGCUAAUACCGCAUAUUCUCUGAGGAGGAAAGCAGGGGACCUUAGGGCCUUGCGCUAUUUGAGCGGCCGAUGUCUGAUUAGCUAGUUGGUGGGGUAAGAGCCCACCAAGGCGACGAUCAGUAGCGGGUCUGAGAGGAUGAUCCGCCACACUGGGACUGAGACACGGCCCAGACUCCUACGGGAGGCAGCAGUGGGGAAUUUUGGACAAUGGGCGCAAGCCUGAUCCAGCCAUGCCGCGUGUAUGAAGAAGGCCUUCGGGUUGUAAAGUACUUUUGUCAGGGAAGAAAAGCCUGAGGAUAACACCCUCAGGUCAUGACGGUACCUGAAGAAUAAGCAUCGGCUAACUACGUGCCAGCAGCCGCGGUAAUACGUAGGGUGCGAGCGUUAAUCGGAAUUACUGGGCGUAAAGCGAGCGCAGACGGUUAUUUAAGCAAGAUGUGAAAGCCCCGGGCUCAACCUGGGAACUGCGUUUUGAACUGGGUAACUAGAGUGUGUCAGAGGGGGGUAGAAUUCCACGUGUAGCAGUGAAAUGCGUAGAGAUGUGGAGGAAUACCGAUGGCGAAGGCAGCCCCCUGGGAUAACACUGACGUUCAUGCUCGAAAGCGUGGGUAGCAAACAGG
Molecule: ribosomal RNA, 759 nt
Filed under: uncultured Neisseriaceae bacterium
Lineage: Bacteria; Pseudomonadati; Pseudomonadota; Betaproteobacteria; Neisseriales; Neisseriaceae
Description: bacterial SSU rRNA
Rfam family: Bacterial small subunit ribosomal RNA
Source: RNAcentral